AGGACGAACGCUGGCGGCGUGCUUAACACAUGCAAGUCGAGCGGAAAGGCCCUUCGGGGUACUCGAGCGGCGAACGGGUGAGUAACACGUGAGUAAUCUGCCCCUAGCUCUGGGAUAGCUCCGGGAAAACCGGGAUUAAUACCAGAUACGACCACUUUAGACAUCUUCUGUGGUGGAAAGAACUUCGGCUAGGGAUGAACUCGCGGCCUAUCAGCUUGUUGGUGAGGUAACGGCUCACCAAGGCGACGACGGGUAGCCGGCCUGAGAGGGCGACCGGCCACACUGGGACUGAGACACGGCCCAGACUCCUACGGGAGGCAGCAGUGGGGAAUAUUGCGCAAUGGGCGAAAGCCUGACGCAGCGACGCCGCGUGGGGGAUGAAGGCCUUCGGGUUGUAAACCCUUUCAGCAGGGACGAAGCGAAAGUGACGGUACCUGCAGAGAAGCGCGGCUAACUACGCGCCAGCAGCCGC
This 472-nucleotide ribosomal RNA is filed under the name uncultured bacterium. RNAcentral's name for it is "SSU rRNA". It matches the Rfam family "Bacterial small subunit ribosomal RNA", at positions 26 to 518 of the family's 1533-position model. The record is from RNAcentral.